Dicentrarchus labrax (European seabass) is the source of this 141-nucleotide small nuclear RNA. Its record names the gene U4. It matches the Rfam family "U4 spliceosomal RNA". Rfam says of the family: U4 small nuclear RNA (U4 snRNA) is a component of the major U2-dependent spliceosome. The structure of U4 snRNA from yeast and human has been reported. U4 snRNA presents a k-turn RNA motif in the 5p-SL related to recognition of Snu13 protein. The record is from Ensembl. Lineage: Eukaryota; Metazoa; Chordata; Actinopteri; Moronidae.
AUUCUUGUGCAGAGGCAAUUUCAUAGUCUAUGAAGAUCUACUGAGACGUGAUUAUUGCUGGUUGAAAACUUAACCCAAUACCCCGCCUGGAUGACUUGAAAUAUAGUCAGCUGUGGCAAUUUUUGCUGGUCUCUCAAGAGA